RNAcentral lists this ribosomal RNA (249 nucleotides) under uncultured bacterium. Its description in RNAcentral is "partial 16S ribosomal RNA". It matches the Rfam family "Bacterial small subunit ribosomal RNA", at positions 524 to 772 of the family's 1533-position model. The record is from RNAcentral.
UACAGAGGUGGCAAGCGUGGUUCGGAAUUACUGGGCGUAAAGGGCGCGUAGGCGGUCAGGUCAGUCCCGUGUGAAAUCCCUCGGCUCAACUGAGGAACUGCACGGGAAACUGCCUGGCUUGAGUUCGGGAGAGGGAAGCGGAAUUCCGGGUGUAGCGGUGAAAUGCGUAGAUAUCCGGAGGAACACCGGUGGCGAAGGCGGCUUCCUGGACCGACACUGACGCUGAGGCGCGAAAGCUAGGGGAGCAAA